Molecule: small nuclear RNA, 161 nt
Gene: U1
Rfam family: U1 spliceosomal RNA
About the family: U1 is a small nuclear RNA (snRNA) component of the spliceosome (involved in pre-mRNA splicing). Its 5' end forms complementary base pairs with the 5' splice junction, thus defining the 5' donor site of an intron. There are significant differences in sequence and secondary structure between metazoan and yeast U1 snRNAs, the latter being much longer (568 nucleotides as compared to 164 nucleotides in human).
Source: Ensembl
AAACUUACCUCAUAGAGGAGAUACCAUGAUCAUGAAGGUUGUUUUCCCAGGAUUAUCCAUCAAGGAAGCUUAACCAUGUCAUUCCUGAGAUUUCCCCAAAUGUAGGAAACUUAACUGUGUAAUAUUUUGGUAGUGGGCAACAAUAGUCAUAACUUUCCUCU